This 213-nucleotide long non-coding RNA is filed under the name Elaeis guineensis (African oil palm). RNAcentral's name for it is "long non-coding RNA (EGUI_LNC038129)". Lineage: Eukaryota; Viridiplantae; Streptophyta; Magnoliopsida; Arecales; Arecaceae. The record is from RNAcentral.
CAUUUCCAUCGUUCAGAGGGAUCGGUACCAGAUCUUCGAUUGGGCCGCCCCUCUCUUCAGUGAGGUCAUCGCGAGCAUCCAGCCCAUCAAUUGGACAGGGGUUGAAUUGGUCGCUUCUUUGCAAGGCUAUGUUGUAGCAGUGUCUGGCCAGGGCUUGGUCUCCUCGGACCUCUCCGAUCUCCUGAUUGAUGGGGAAUUUCAACUUCAAAUGGU